This 426-nucleotide unclassified non-coding RNA is filed under the name uncultured Ascomycota. RNAcentral describes it as "sequence contains ITS2". The record is from RNAcentral. Lineage: Eukaryota; Fungi; Ascomycota.
AACUUUUAGCAAUGGAUCACUUGCCCAGUGAAGCGCGAGCAGAACUGCGGCACUUGAAUUUCGAUAGGGAAGCUUGCUUUGGUUUUCGCGGGUGGCAGCUUGGCUUCGAGCGGCUUUAAGUCCAAAUCGUAGAUAGCGGAGAUCUCCCGCGCGAUGCCGUAAUGGUUCAUAGCGUCCACGCGAUUGGUGGUGAUGUCCAUUUCAAAAAUGGCAUUGUCUCCGCCAGAGACGCUUUCGACCGCAAUUCCCGCCAGCGUCAGGUCGUCGGCGAGUUUGCGCGCGCCGACUUUAUAGUCAACGAACUCGCGCAACCAUUGGGGUGAGAUUUUCAUGCUUACGCGAACUGCUCCAAGAAGCGCACGUCGCCGGAAUAAAAGAGUUGAAUGUCAUCGAUGCCGUACUUAAGCAUAUCAAUAAGCGGAGGCU